This 598-nucleotide ribosomal RNA is filed under the name uncultured bacterium. Its description in RNAcentral is "bacterial SSU rRNA". It matches the Rfam family "Bacterial small subunit ribosomal RNA", at positions 338 to 954 of the family's 1533-position model. The record is from RNAcentral.
CCUACGGGAGGCAGCAGUAAGGAAUCUUCCACAAUGGACGAAAGUCUGAUGGAGCAACGCCGCGUGCAGGAUGAAGGCUUUCGGGUCGUAAACUGCUUUUAUAUGGGAAGAUUAUGACGGUACCAUAUGAAUAAGGACCGGCUAACUACGUGCCAGCAGCCGCGGUAAUACGUAGGGUCCAAGCGAUAUCCGGAAUUACUGGGCGUAAAGCGUGUGUAGGUGGAUUAAUAAGUGUGAUGCGAAAUCCGGCGGCUCAACCGUUUGGACUGUGUCGCAUACUGUUAGUCUAGAGGACGGCAGAGGUAAGUGGAAUUACGGGUGUAGCAGUGAAAUGCGUAGAUAUCCGUAGGAACACCAAUGGCGAAGGCAGCUUACUGGGCCACACCUGACACUGAGACACGAAAGCGUGGGGAGCGAACAGGAUUAGAUACCCUGGUAGUCCACGCCGUAAACGAUGCAUACUAUUAGUAUGGGGUAUCGACCCCCUGUGCUGAGAAGCUAACGCGAUAAGUAUGCCGCCUGGGGAGUACGAGCGCAAGCUUAAAACUCAAAUGAAUUGACGGCUGAGACGNGCGACGGACGACGACGAGGGAGGAGG